Molecule: ribosomal RNA, 433 nt
Filed under: uncultured Lachnospiraceae bacterium
Lineage: Bacteria; Bacillati; Bacillota; Clostridia; Lachnospirales; Lachnospiraceae
Description: partial 16S ribosomal RNA
Rfam family: Bacterial small subunit ribosomal RNA
Source: RNAcentral
ACGGAGGCAGCAGUGGGGAAUAUUGGACAAUGGGGGAAACCCUGAUCCAGCGACGCCGCGUGAGUGAAGAAGUAUUUCGGUAUGUAAAGCUCUAUCAGCAAGGAAGAAAAUGACGGUACUUGACUAAGAAGCCCCGGCUAACUACGUGCCAGCAGCCGCGGUAAUACGUAGGGGGCAAGCGUUAUCCGGAUUUACUGGGUGUAAAGGGAGCGUAGACGGCAUAGCAAGUCUGAAGUGAAAUGCGUGGGCUCAACCCAUGAACUGCUUUGGAAACUGUUAAGCUAGAGUGCAGGAGAGGUAAGUGGAAUUCCUAGUGUAGCGGUGAAAUGCGUAGAUAUUAGGAGGAACACCAGUGGCGAAGGCGGCUUACUGGACUGUAACUGACGUUGAGGCUCGAAAGCGUGGGGAGCAAACAGGAUUAGAUACCCUGGUA